Molecule: long non-coding RNA, 641 nt
Filed under: Brassica napus (rape)
Lineage: Eukaryota; Viridiplantae; Streptophyta; Magnoliopsida; Brassicales; Brassicaceae
Description: long non-coding RNA (BNAP_LNC013991)
Source: RNAcentral
UUUUGCCCCUGAUUUCUUCACCAUAAAAUCCCUUGAUUUAUUCCACAUCAUUUCCAGGAUUGAAAGAAGUUGGUCCCCUCCACGUGGCAUGCUCCUAUUGGUUGCUCGGAUGGGUUAUAUGGACCAAUGGGGUUCUUUCUCUCUCCUUUGACUUUAGUUGACUUUGACAUCUGAGUUGACCAUUUCCAAAAGUUGAGGAAAUGUGUAAAACAUUCCUUUGAACUCCUUUCCCAUGUUUGCACAACUCCUUUUGGCUUUCUUUGCCCUCAACUAGCUUGUUUCGACCAUAUAGGCCAAAACCGUCUUCCUCCAGACCAUCUUGGUCUUCCUCCGGACCAUCUUGGUCUUCCUCCGGACCAUCUUGGUCUUCCUCCGGACCAUCUUGGUCUUCCUCCGGACCAUCUUGGUCUUCCUCCGGACCAUCUUGGUCUUCCUCCGGACCAUCUUGGUUUUGUCUUGACCAAACUCUCAAAUAUGUAUUCAAAUACCUUAAAUAAGGUUCCUAGAUUGACUCCCUAACUCCUGGAUUCAUAGUAGCCACCUUCGUCUUCUGACCGUUACCAAACCUCUGCAUAGACCAUCUUUGAAACCUCUACCGACCAUCUCCUUAUGGGCCCAUCCAAACUUGAUUCUGAUUCGAC